UACGAAGGGGGCUAGCGUUGUUCGGAAUCACUGGGCGUAAAGGGCGCGUAGGCGGCUUUGUAAGUCGGGGGUGAAAGCCUGUGGCUCAACCACAGAAUUGCCUUCGAUACUGCAUGGCUUGAGACCGGAAGAGGUUAGUGGAACUGCGAGUGUAGAGGUGAAAUUCGUAGAUAUUCGCAAGAACACCAGUGGCGAAGGCGGCUGACUGGUCCGGUUCUGACGCUGAGGCACGAAAGCUAGGGGAGC
This 246-nucleotide ribosomal RNA is filed under the name uncultured bacterium. RNAcentral's name for it is "partial 16S ribosomal RNA". It matches the Rfam family "Bacterial small subunit ribosomal RNA", at positions 524 to 769 of the family's 1533-position model. The record is from RNAcentral.